AAUGUUUCCACAGUGCAUCC
RNAcentral lists this microRNA (20 nucleotides) under Monodelphis domestica (gray short-tailed opossum). Its description in RNAcentral is "mdo-miR-33-3p". Its record names the gene mdo-miR-33-3p. The record is from miRBase by way of RNAcentral. Lineage: Eukaryota; Metazoa; Chordata; Mammalia; Didelphimorphia; Didelphidae.